UCCCUUGUAGCUCAGUUGGUAAAGAAUCUGCCUGCAAUGCAAGAGACCUAGGUUCGAUUCCUGGGUUGGGAA
RNAcentral lists this transfer RNA (72 nucleotides) under Ovis aries (sheep). It matches the Rfam family "tRNA". Rfam says of the family: Transfer RNA (tRNA) molecules are approximately 80 nucleotides in length. Their secondary structure includes four short double-helical elements and three loops (D, anti-codon, and T loops). The record is from Rfam by way of RNAcentral. Lineage: Eukaryota; Metazoa; Chordata; Mammalia; Artiodactyla; Bovidae.